Molecule: ribosomal RNA, 693 nt
Filed under: uncultured bacterium
Lineage: Bacteria
Description: bacterial SSU rRNA
Rfam family: Bacterial small subunit ribosomal RNA
Source: RNAcentral
CGUGCCUGGGUCUACGUGUAAGAGUAUCCACCCCUUCUGUGCCGCAGCCAACGCAUUACCCUCCCCGCCUGGGGAGUACGGCCGCAAGGUUGAAACUCUAAGGAAUUGACGGGGGCCCGCACAAGCGGUGGAGUAUGUGGUUUAAUUCCACGCUACCCGAAGAACCUUACCGGGGCUUGACAUCCCGUGCUAUCUGUUGAAAGACAGAGUUCCCAUUUGGGACGCGGAGACAGGUGGUGCAUGGCUGUCGUCAGCUCGUGUCGUGAGAUGUUGGGUUAAGUCCCGCAACGAGCGCAACCCUUGUCCUUAGUUGCCAGCACGUUAAGGUGGGCACUCUAGGGAUACUGCCGGUGACAAACCGGAGGAAGGUGGGGAUGACGUCAAGUCAUCAUGCCCCUUAUGUUCCGGGCCACACACGUACUACAAUGGUCUGUACAGAGGGUCGCGAAGCCGUGAGGUGGAGCCAAUCCCACAAAGCAGAUCUCAGUUCGGAUUGCAGGCUGAAACCCGCCUGCAUGAAGUUGGAAUCGCUAGUAAUCGCACGUCAGCAUACUGCGGUGAAUACGUUCCCGGGCCUUGUACACACCGCCCGUCACACCACCAAAGCUGGCAACACCCCGAAGCCGGUGACUCAACUCCCAAGAGAGAGAGCCGUCCAAGGUGGGGUUAGUGAUUGGGGUGAAGUCCUAACAA